Molecule: ribosomal RNA, 852 nt
Filed under: Sarocladium kiliense
Lineage: Eukaryota; Fungi; Ascomycota; Sordariomycetes; Hypocreales; Sarocladiaceae
Description: LSU rRNA
Rfam family: Eukaryotic large subunit ribosomal RNA
Source: RNAcentral
CUAGCAUAUCUAUGAGCGGAGGAAAAGAAACCAACAGGGAUUGCCUCAGUAACGGCGAGUGAAGCGGCAACAGCUCAAAUUUGAAUCUGGCCGCAAGGUCCGAGUUGUAAUUUGUAGAGGAUGCUUUUGGCGAGGUGCCUUCCGAGUUCCCUGGAACGGGACGCCAUAGAGGGUGAGAGCCCCGUACGGUAGGACCACCAAGCCUCUGUAAAGCUCCUUCGACGAGUCGAGUAGUUUGGGAAUGCUGCUCUAAAUGGGAGGUGUACGUCUUCUAAAGCUAAAUACCGGCCAGAGACCGAUAGCGCACAAGUAGAGUGAUCGAAAGAUGAAAAGCACUUUGAAAAGAGGGUUAAAAAGUACGUGAAAUUGUUGAAAGGGAAGCAUUCAUGACCAGACUUGGGCUUGGUUGAACAUCCGGCGUUCUCGCCGGUGCACUCUGCCAGUCCAGGCCAGCAUCAGUUUGCCCCGGGGGAUAAAGGCGGCGGGAAUGUGGCUCCCUUCGGGGAGUGUUAUAGCCCGUCGUGUAAUGCCCUGGGGCGGACUGAGGAACGCGCUUCGGCACGGAUGCUGGCGUAAUGGUCAUCAAUGACCCGUCUUGAAACACGGACCAAGGAGUCGUCUUCGUAUGCGAGUGUUCGGGUGUCAAACCCCUACGCGUAAUGAAAGUGAACGUAGGUGAGAGCUUCGGCGCAUCACCGACCGAUCCUGAUGUUCUCGGAUGGAUUUGAGUAAGAGCAUACGGGGCCGGACCCGAAAGAAGGUGAACUAUGCCUGUAUAGGGUGAAGCCAGAGGAAACUCUGGUGGAGGCUCGCAGCGGUUCUGACGUGCAAAUCGAUCGUCAAAUAUGGGCA